This 442-nucleotide ribosomal RNA is filed under the name uncultured bacterium. Its description in RNAcentral is "bacterial SSU rRNA". It matches the Rfam family "Bacterial small subunit ribosomal RNA", at positions 15 to 507 of the family's 1533-position model. The record is from RNAcentral.
GAUCAUGGCUCAGAACAACGCUGGCGCAUGCCUAACACAUGCAAGUCGAACGAAGCCUUCGGGCUUAGUGGCGCACGGGUGCGUAACGCGUGGGAAUCUGCCUUGGUUCGGAAUAACAGUUAGAAAUGACUGCUAAUACCGAAUGAUGUCUUCGGACCAAAGAUUUAUCGCCCAAGGAUGAGCCCGCGUCGGAUUAGCUAGUUGGUGAGGUAAAGGCUCACCAAGGCGACGAUCCGUAGCUGGUCUGAGAGGAUGAUCAGCCACACUGGGACUGAGACACGGCCCAGACUCCUACGGGAGGCAGCAGUGGGGAAUAUUGGACAAUGGGCGAAAGCCUGAUCCAGCAAUGCCGCGUGAGUGAUGAAGGCCUUAGGGUUGUAAAGCUCUUUUACCCGGGAUGAUAAUGACAGUACCGGGAGAAUAAGCCCCGGCUAACUCCGUG